RNAcentral lists this ribosomal RNA (271 nucleotides) under uncultured anaerobic ammonium-oxidizing bacterium. RNAcentral's name for it is "partial 16S ribosomal RNA". It matches the Rfam family "Bacterial small subunit ribosomal RNA", at positions 565 to 834 of the family's 1533-position model. The record is from RNAcentral.
GAGCACGUAGGUGGGUUUGUAAGUCAGAUGUGAAAGCCUUCUGUUCAACGGAAGAAUUGCAUCUGAAACUGCGAGUCUUGAGUGUAGGAGGGGAGAAUGGAACUUCUGGUGGAGCGGUGAAAUGCGUAGAUAUCAGAAGGAACGCCGGCGGCGAAAGCGAUUCUCUGGCCUAUUACUGACACUCAGUGUGCGAGAGCUAGGGGAGCAAACGGGAUUAGAUACCCCGGUAGUCCUAGCCGUAAACGAUGGGCACUAAGUAGAGGGGUUUUAA